This is a non-coding RNA of Schistosoma haematobium, 45 nucleotides long. NCBI's taxonomy places the organism in Eukaryota, Metazoa, Platyhelminthes, Trematoda, Strigeidida, Schistosomatidae. The record is from Rfam.
ACCCAGCUGACGAGUCACAAAUACGAUGAAACACGCGUUCUGGAU